ACGGAGGGUACGAACGUUAAUCGGAAUUACUGGGCGUAAAGCGCGCGUAGGCGGUUUGAUAAGUGGGAUGUGAAAGCCCCGGGCUCAACCUGGGAACUGCAUUCCAAACUGUCAAACUAGAGUGUGGUAGAGGGCGGUAGAAUUUCCUGUGUAGCGGUGAAAUGCGUAGAUAUAGGAAGGAAUACCGAUGGCGAAGGCAGCCGCCUGGACCAACACUGACGCUGAGGUGCGAAAGCGUGGGGAGCAAACAGG
Molecule: ribosomal RNA, 252 nt
Filed under: uncultured bacterium
Lineage: Bacteria
Description: partial 16S ribosomal RNA
Rfam family: Bacterial small subunit ribosomal RNA
Source: RNAcentral